GUCAGCGGUUGCAAUCACCGGCAACUGUUCAGUCCGCCAUAUUGUUUUAGAUCUACGAAUUGUCGAAGCAAAAGACCACAAUGAGUAGCAUUUUGUGGAGGAAUUUGCGAGUUCCGUUGAUCAGGCGCAUGGCACGUCAAGCUAGUGAUCAUCCUACAGCAGAAGAACUUGGCCUAAAGGGAUGGCAAGUCUACUUUAAUAGCUUCACUAUUGAGGGAAGACGCAAUUUGGUAUUUUUAGUCUAUGGAACUUUGUUUGGAAUCUAUGGCCUUCGCAAGCUGACGAAAAAGGACAAGAAAGAGACUCCUGAAAAGACUCCUGAAAAGACUCCUUAAAAAUAACUGCAAUAGGAAAAUUCCUCAUUUGACUUCUGUAAUCUGUCAUGUUUGGGUUUUCGUUUUUGUGGAGGGACGACAGGUCAAAUGAUCCAGUGAUGUAAAGUUUGUCAAAUGCAUUUGAUAUGCUAAUAAAUCAGAUUGACAUUUUU
Molecule: long non-coding RNA, 487 nt
Organism: Pocillopora verrucosa
Lineage: Eukaryota; Metazoa; Cnidaria; Anthozoa; Scleractinia; Pocilloporidae
Source: RefSeq, a predicted model, not a curated record